UUCAACNGCCGCGGUAUCCUAACCGUGCAAAGGUAGCGUAAUCACUUGUCCUCUAAAUAGGGACCAGUAUGAACGGCUAAAUGAGGACUAACCUGUCUCCUCAGGCCAAUCAGUGAAACUGAUCUGCCAGUACAAAAGCUGGUAUACUAUCAUAAGACGAGAAGACCCUGUGGAGCUUUAAAUCUAACCCAAAGCUACAACCAAAGACUAGCAAUAAUGGUCCACGAUUUUAAGUUGGGGCGACUU
RNAcentral lists this ribosomal RNA (246 nucleotides) under Crotaphytus collaris. RNAcentral's name for it is "partial 16S ribosomal RNA". It matches the Rfam family "Bacterial large subunit ribosomal RNA", at positions 1923 to 2285 of the family's 2925-position model. Lineage: Eukaryota; Metazoa; Chordata; Lepidosauria; Squamata; Crotaphytidae. The record is from RNAcentral.